CGUCUCCUACCCUAAAUUUUCUUUAAUUUCGUGUGUCUGCUGUGUUUUCGUCUCAGUUUCCGUCAAACGUCGAUUCAUCUUGCCGAAUGUUGUUUAGUGGUUGUGCCGUUUAGUCAUCUUUCAUCCUCGUCGUAUUGAGUUCGCCGUCCACUGGGCUUAUCAUCCGACCAUGUCGCGUUCGGCCAUCUCAGAUUUGGUUGCUGUUCACCAAAGUAGUCCAAGAGGAAUUCAUUUUAGGUGUGUUGGACCCCGCCAACAACUUUCAGAACUAUAGGAGGUCAUUUAUUACUGCACACCACCUGUUGGUAAUCCAGUUAUUAAAGGGCAGCGAGCUCUUAUUCGAAAUAUAUGCAUAGAACGCAUACAAAGAGCAAAACGGAAUGUUGAGGUACCGAUGCAUUUUCCUUUCUGUUCACAUAGACUAAAUUUUCUCUUUAUUCAAACGCUCAACCCUAGUGUUUUUUUAGCGUUAGUUUUUUUUUUAAUUUUUUUAAUGAAAAAUUUUAUUGAUUUUUUUUUAAAAAUAUGACGAAAAAAAGAGAAAAGAACUUAUGAGGUUUUGGGUUGGGCUGUAGAGCUGUUCACUCUUUUGACAUGACUAGUUAAUAGUUAAUAGUUGUUCACUCAUAAUAAUGCUCUAGUUGUGGAGGCUUGGUAGAGACAAAGUAUAGUGGAUAGAAUGAUAUUUUUAUGUAUUCUAGAAUCUUCUCUUGAUACUCUGAUGUAAUAAGAUUAGGAUAAUUUGGUAAAUUCAAAUUAAUCUUGGUUAAUCUUUGACUAAUUACAUUUUAAUCUUCUAAUUAGUUUUUAUUUACUUUUAGUAUCGUAUCGUACAUUUAAUUCUCUUUAAAUAGAGAAUUCUUUUCUUGUAUUAGACAACUUUUGAUUCAUAAUAAUGACUUUGAUUUGAUUCUUGGAGAAAGUUCUCCUUUUAUCUCUUUAGGCUACAUCAUAUUCUCUCAGUAAAUUUUUCUAAAUAUUGAUUUUAUCGUGUUAUUAUGUUCAUUGGAAGUUAGCAACCUUGCAAUUACUAUCAAUUUUGUCGACCUGACAAUCAGUUUGGCUAUUAGAGCCCUUGUGCUACCUCCAAUACAAGAUAUUGAGACAUGGCUAAAGUUUGCUUCUCUUUGUCGGAAAAAUGGGAAAGCCAACCAGGCAAGAUCUACUCUUGUUAAGCUUUUACAGUGAUGUUGGCAUACUUGAAAUACCAAUGGUCACUUAGGGAGGAUAUUUUCACUCAAUAGCAUGUGCUCCAAAUUCUAAAGGACAUCCUCCGUCUUCUCACUUUAUGUUUCAACCAUGGAGCCACUGCAAAAAGGAUUUGCUCAUGUAAAUAUCAACACGUGGCUUGUAGUCUUACCUUAGAUAAUUGCAAGGAUACAUUCAAAUAAUCAUGCAGUAAGAGAGCUUAUACAGUCACUAUCGGUCAGAAUUGGGCAAAGCCAUCCUCAAGUUUGUUUCCUAUAUCAUCCUUUUGCAUUAUGUUUAGGUUUGGGCUCAACUUUUAUCUAAAGAAUUGAUUCGAUUUGCCAUAAUUUGGCAUGAAACAUGGCAUGAGGCUCUAGAGAAGGCUAGUCGUUUGUACUUUGGUGAACAUAACAUUCAUAAGAGUUGAAUUGUUCAUAUGAAGGGGGGAGGUUGAUAGGUGAAUUGUUCAUAAGAGUUGAAUUGUUCUGAAACUUUGUUGUGGUAGUCAUUUUGAAACUUUGUUGUGGUUGCCAUUAUGAAAUUUUAUGUAUAUAGAUGAUAUACUUUUGGGCUAAGUUAGUUAAUUAGAGGAUGUUGAGUUGAAUUCUUGGAAAUCUGAUAGAAUUGUUUAUAUUGGUUUUGUAAAUGAUAUGAAUCAAAGUUUUGGAAAUGAUAUGGUGAAAGGUUUUAUAUUUGAUGAA
Molecule: long non-coding RNA, 1889 nt
Organism: Cucumis melo (muskmelon)
Lineage: Eukaryota; Viridiplantae; Streptophyta; Magnoliopsida; Cucurbitales; Cucurbitaceae
Exons: 6
Source: RefSeq, a predicted model, not a curated record